AGAUGUGAGGGCCAUUUGACCAUGACAUCUGUCACCCCCUAAUCGCCAGGACUGGUUCGGCUAUUGGGCUGGCUAGGCAGGUGUUCCAUUCCUCCCAAUCACUGCUACAAGGCUCCAUUGUGUCCUCCUGAAGCUGGACACUUGGUGGAAGAGGAAAACCUUCCCAAAUGCAGAAGGACUGCUCUUGGGUCAAGGGCAUAUGAAGAGCUGAACUUCCUUGCUGAACCUCCAAACUAGUUCUUAAGAUCAAUUUGUAGGAGAAAGUAGGCAGUUAAGCUUCCAGGACUCCAGGCAUAUCAAAAGAGGCAUAUGCAGCCAUCUGGCUUU
This 327-nucleotide small nuclear RNA is filed under the name Nannospalax galili (Upper Galilee mountains blind mole rat). Its description in RNAcentral is "7SK RNA (ENSNGAG00000002787.1)". It matches the Rfam family "7SK RNA". From Rfam's summary of the family: 7SK was discovered as an abundant small nuclear RNA in the mid-70s but a possible function has only recently been suggested. Two independent studies have found that 7SK RNA binds the CDK9/cyclin T complex (known as elongation factor P-TEFb). Lineage: Eukaryota; Metazoa; Chordata; Mammalia; Rodentia; Spalacidae. The record is from RNAcentral.